This 1896-nucleotide ribosomal RNA is filed under the name human gut metagenome. RNAcentral's name for it is "bacterial LSU rRNA". It matches the Rfam family "Bacterial large subunit ribosomal RNA", at positions 1 to 1976 of the family's 2925-position model. The record is from RNAcentral.
UGAAGUAAGUAAGGGCGUACGGUGAAUGCCUUGGUGCCAACAGGCGAAGAAGGACGCGGCAAGCUGCGAAAAGCCUCGGGAAGCUGCAAGCAAGCGAUGAUCCGGGGAUAUCCGAAUGGGGUAACCUGAUCGAGGCAAUACUCGAUCGUUCAUACCUGAAUACAUAGGGUAUGAAACGUGAAACCCGCUGAAGUGAAACAUCUCAGUAAGCGGAGGAAAAGAAAGAGAAAUCGAUUCCGUAAGUAGUGGCGAGCGAAAGCGGAUGGAGCCCAAACCGAAGGUAUUCCUUCGGGGUUGUAGGACCACGUCAUAUUCGACCAUACUGGAUAGUAGAACAGCCUGGAAAGGCUGGCCGGAGAAGGUGAAAGCCCUGUAGACGAAAUCCAGAGUGGGAAUUAGUGGUAUCCUGAGUAAUACAUCACACGUGGAACGAUGUAUGAACCCGCGCGGACCACCGCGCAAGGCUAAAUACUAGUUGGCGACCGAUAGUGAACAAGUACCGCGAGGGAAAGGUGAAAAGAACCGCUGUGAGCGGAGUGAAAUAGAACCUGAAACCGUAUGUCUACAAAGUGUCAGAGCAGAGCAAUCUGCGAUGGCGUGCCUUUUGUUUAAUGAGUCUGCGAGUCAGUGUUUGUGGCAAGACUAAGGGCUUCCGGCCCGGAGUCGCAGCGAAAGCAAGUCCGAACAGGGCGCAAUAAGUCGCAGGUACUGGACCCGAAGCGGAGGUGACCUACCCUUGGCCAGGUUGAAGCAUGGGUAAAACCAUGUGGAGGACCGAACAGGUGAACGUUGAAAAGUUCUCUGAUGAGCUGAGGGUAGGAGUGAAAGGCUAAUCAAACCCCGUGAUAGCUGGUUCUCUUCGAAAUGCAUUUAGGUGCAGCGUCACGUGCUGAUGCGCGGGGGUAGAGCACUGACAAGGCUAGGGGGCACACCCGCUUACCAAACCUUAUCAAACUCCGAAUACCGUGCAAUGGAACGUGGCAGUGAGACAGUGGGGGAUAAGCUUCAUUGUCGAGAGGGAAACAACCCAGACCAGCAGCUAAGGUGCCUAAAUAACGCUCAGUGGAAAGGAUGUGGGAUUACACAGACAGUGAGGAUGUUGGCUUAGAAGCAGCCACCAUUUAAAAAAUGCGUAAUAGCUUACUCAUCGAGUGAUCCUGCGCCGAAAAUGAUUGGCGAUCAAGCGUUAUACCGAAGCUCUGGACUUUGCCGCAAGGCAGAGUGGUAGAAGAGCGUUGCAUGCGCGUCGAAGGGCGAUGGCGACUGACCCUGGAGCACAUGCAAGUGAGUAUGCAGACAUGAGUAACGUUAAGCCGGGUGAAAUCCCCGGCCGCCGUAAACCCGAGGUUUCCAGGGCAACGUGUUUCGUCCCUGGGUUAGCCGGGACCUAAGCCGAGGCCGAGAGGCGUAGGCGAUGGACAUCAGGUUAAUAAUCCUGAGCUCGCAACCCUUAAACUGGGGGGACGCAUGAGAAAAGAUGACUAGGUUAUUGAAUUCCGAGUUGAGUCCACGGACUCAGCGCAUCAUUGGAUCGAGUGCCAAGAAAAGCCCCAGCGUAUGCUAAGCGACCCGUACCGCAAACCGACACAGGUGGGUGGGUAGAAUAUACCAAGGCGUAAGAGUGAAACCUGGUUAAGGAACUCGGCAAAUUAGCCCCGUAACUUCGGAAGAAGGGGUGCCUGCAGCGAUGCAGGCCGCAGAGAAAUGGCCCAACCGACUGUUUAUCAAAAACACAGCACUCUGCAAAGACGCAAGUCGAAGUAUAGGGUGUGACACGUGACCAAUGCCGAAAGAUUAAGGCAAGGGGUUAGCCGCAAGGCGAAGCUCUAAACCCAAGUCCCGGUGAAUGUCGGCCGUAACUAUAACGGUCCUAAGGUAGCGAAAUUCCUUGUCGGG